Molecule: RNA transcript, 2100 nt
Organism: Vicia villosa (hairy vetch)
Lineage: Eukaryota; Viridiplantae; Streptophyta; Magnoliopsida; Fabales; Fabaceae
Exons: 5
Source: RefSeq, a predicted model, not a curated record
CCCAUAGUUUCAUGAAACUUUCCUACUCCACUAUUCUGCCAACACUGUUUUUCUAUCACUUUCUCUUCAGUCCCUCUCUAUAAAAUUCCAGUACUCAUCCUCCAACCCCACUUUGGCCCUUUCUAUAGAGAUCAAAACAACAAACAUCAUGGUAGGACAUUUGAUAACAACCAAACCAAGUCGAAGCGACGAGGUCUUAGAUGCCUAUGAACAAAUCAGAAUCACAAAUCAAAUCAAAGCUCAAUUCGACGCUUUAACACCUAAACGACCCAUCAAACCCAACCGAAGCGAACCCGAAACACAAGACCCCGUCAACUUGUCCACUCUCUCUUCACACAACAUACCAGAGCUUGAAAAGCUUCAAUCUCUUCAAUCUAACUCUCAAGGUUUUUCUUCCUCGCAGGGAGUAGUGGAUGGACAAGAUGAAUUUGUGGAAACUCAGUAUUACAAGGAGUUGUUGUCGAUUAACAAACAGCAUCAUGCGACAGGAAGUGGGUUUAUAAAAGCGGUUAGAGAAGGAGGUGAAAGUGGAUAUGAGAUUCAGUUACCUGUAAGCCAUGUUGAUGUUGGUGAAACACAAAUUAGAGGCUAUAAAAGUAACCCUGCCACAAAUGACUGGGUUCCCAACCUUGAUCAACAACAUCAUCAGGAUUUCAUCUCGUUGAAGCCGAACAGGAGCGAGAGCUCCUAGAUCUGUCUAGCUCUGUUUGGUGUUUGGUGUUUGGUUGUUGGAGAUGGUCACAGUUGUAAUUUGUCUUCUUCAACCUCUUUUUCUACAUGACUAGGCCGUUGGAGAAAAUAAUGGACAUCAACGACACCAAGGAGUUAUGGAAGGUGGCGGUCAGAGUAGCCCAUAAAUGGAAUGUAGUUUCCAACAAUAAGGAACACUUUGAGAUGAUAUUUUUCGACAAAGAGGGGUGUGAUAUUCACGUAGUUAUUCCAACUACGUACAUGGCCGCGUACCAUGAGAAGUUUGAAGGGGACCAGACGUACACCGUCUCCAACUUUGCAGUGCAGCCAAAUAACUUAGUUUUCAAACCAAACACCCACAAGUUCUUGGUGAAAUUCACUGGAGGAACUUCUAUGAAUGAUGUUAACAAACACGACAUACCCCUCAAACAACGCACCUUCACCAGUUUCCCUGAUAUUAUGACCGACAACUUUCAGAAGGAUGUGCUGAUCGGUUAGACUACAUUGCGUUAUGUUUUUAUUUUCGCGUUUUAUAGUCAUUCAUUGUCCUAUGUUAUUCGUUUUCAUCCUUCCCUUAGACAUUAUUGGCAUGGUCAAUACUAGUUGGAUUGUAGGUAUGUCUCCCCAAGUGAAGCGUGUUGGAGAAUUUAUUCUUACAAAAUUCAUGACAGGAAACUGGCGGUGGAACGAAUGUAUUAUCAUUUAGUAGGUGAACAAAAGGUUUACUACCCCGAUCACGCAAGAAUGGAAGAUAUAUUGGAAAAGCAAGCGUCAUAGAGUCAAUGUUCACGGCUUGGUUGGUUGCUAAUGGGAAGUACGAAGACGCACGAGAACUCACCUAUGGCCAAUGUCUCUAAAUUUAUUUAUGAAAAAAAAACAGAACCUGGAAACUGCAGAAAAAGGGCUUCACCAUUGGCCGUUUGAUAUGAGUUUCCCCAACAAUAGAAGAAUUAUUUUACCUUCGAUUGAUGUUGACUGAGGUUAAGGGACCUUCUACUUAUGAAGAAAUUUGCAAAGUUGGCAACACAAUAUGAUACUUUUAGGGACCUUCUACUCAUACCAUUUCUGGCCAUAAUUCUCUCGGCAAUUGUAGUCAAAUUAUUUUCUACCGCCAUAUCUUGUCGAUAUUGAUCGACAAUUUGAUCAGCGUCUUGUUGCCGACCAACUAAUACCACUGGUUGGCGUCCCAACCCGACACCUUGGUUCUGUUGAGGUCUAGGAAUUUGCUCUUGAUGUACUGUUUCCUCUUCUACCACGUCUAACUCUGCUUGAGCCAGUACAUUUUGUCUAUUUCUCUGAGGUACCUGUCGAAUAGGUAUUUGAGGUGCCCUAAGAAACUGCACAAACGAGUCAACUGAGUAACCACCUGCCUAUUUGAUUUAGUUGAUUCCUGCAUUAUAUGGUUAAAAA